This is a long non-coding RNA of Arachis duranensis, 306 nucleotides long. RefSeq lists it as uncharacterized. The transcript has 2 exons. The record is from RefSeq and is a predicted model, not a curated record. Lineage: Eukaryota; Viridiplantae; Streptophyta; Magnoliopsida; Fabales; Fabaceae.
UUUGGGUUAUGGAUUUGCGUUUUGAGGAUUUGGGCGCAGAAGUUAUGAAGAGUUUAAUUAUUUGUUAUUGAGAUGCUCUGUAUUGCUUUAGAUUAUUAUUUUUGUACCCUCGCCUUUAUCUUGAUAUAUUCUGUGAGAGGGAUAGGAAUUGUACUGGAUAAUGUUUGUAAUAUUAUUUAUAUAUAUGUAUGUAUAUAUAUAUGGAUGUACUCUUUAUGAGUUUCUGUAAGUUGUAUGGUAUGUAUGGACGUACGUUGUAUGGCGAAAGUAUUUUUGGGAAUGGUAUUGCGGUUUAAAGUUUUUAAA